Molecule: non-coding RNA, 163 nt
Filed under: bovine gut metagenome
Source: RNAcentral
CGUCGCGAGGCGGAAUCCGAAGGAAGCCGUAGGCGAAACCUCGGCUGAGGAACACGAACCGUAUCAGGCGGACGCGGCGGGUGAGGCUGCGGAACAAGCCGAAGCCCCAUAGCUGCACGGAAGCCCCACGCGUAAAUGCGGCAGGUAGGCGGAGGGAAAGAGA